CCGACCCUCUUUUUCUCUCUCCCCCUCCCUCUCUUUCUUCCCUCUCACCCCCUCCCUCUCUCCCCCACCCUCUCUCUUCUCUCUCUCCCUCCAAGUCUGGCACUGAACGAGAACUGUUUUGCUUUGCUCCGGGAAGAGUGCAGACACAUAACGUGAAAUCCCGAGCUUUUUGCGUGGUGCAUUUAAAAUGCUUCCUUAUUUAUAUUACCCUCAUUCCCUCACCACCCCCCACCCCCUCACCAGUCCUUCCAAAUUUCCCUAGAAAUCUAUGUAAAGCAUGCGGAGGGGAAAACAUUUGCACAAAAAGUGAAGGAGCUCGCCAAGGAGUUCCCGUUUGGGUGGUCAGACCUGUCCUGACACCCAGAGGUCUGCAUGAGGGAAGGCCACGGAAGGAGGAGUUCUGAAAGGCCACAGGUGAUGAAGAGCUUGGAUGAAUGAACUUAGAAGUCCCAGGAAAAUAGCAAAAAUUUCAUCUCCUGAAGAAAUUUGAAGAGUUUUUUGGAGAUUCUUUUAAAGGCGAAAUUUUUCUUCUUUAGGGUUGGACAACUGAAUUUAAAAGCAAGUUAAAAUUCAAUAUUUUGAACAAUGUUUAAAUGAAGAUGAGUGGGAAGACAGAACUGUUAAAAGGUUUUAUUAUACAGCCAAGUGAAGGAUUCAGCUGUGUCCCAAAGGAUUAAACAAGAUGGUAUGCUUAAUAAUUCCUCACUUCUAUGAAAUUCCCUGAUUAUAAAGUGUUCUUUCAUUCUGUAGAACUACUCCUGAUUUCAUCAGGAAACUCUGAUCUGAAACUCAAUUUACAGAAAUAUUAAAAAUAAAAUUUCAACUAAAUGGGAAUAUUUGUAUACUAAUAUGGUACAAUGUUGUUGCUUUUUUAUAUUAAAUACCAUUCUAAACUCUAAAUUUGUUAAUAAAUGAAGCUGAAAUCUAAUGUGA
Chlorocebus sabaeus (green monkey) is the source of this 933-nucleotide non-coding RNA. Lineage: Eukaryota; Metazoa; Chordata; Mammalia; Primates; Cercopithecidae. The record is from RefSeq and is a predicted model, not a curated record.